This 467-nucleotide ribosomal RNA is filed under the name uncultured bacterium. RNAcentral's name for it is "partial 16S ribosomal RNA". It matches the Rfam family "Bacterial small subunit ribosomal RNA", at positions 28 to 506 of the family's 1533-position model. The record is from RNAcentral.
GACGAACGCUGGCGGCGUGCUUAACACAUGCAAGUCGAACGGAAAGGCCCUGCUUUUGUGGGGUGCUCGAGUGGCGAACGGGUGAGUAACACGUGAGUAACCUGCCCUUGACUUUGGGAUAACUUCAGGAAACUGGGGCUAAUACCGGAUAGGAGCUCCUGCUGCAUGGUGGUGGUUGGAAAGUUUCGGCGGUUGGGGAUGGACUCGCGGCUUAUCAGCUUGUUGGUGGGGUAGUGGCUUACCAAGGCUUUGACGGGUAGCCGGCCUGAGAGGGUGACCGGCCACAUUGGGACUGAGAUACGGCCCAGACUCCUACGGGAGGCAGCAGUGGGGAAUAUUGCACAAGGGGCGGAAGCCUGAUGCAGCAACGCCGCGUGCGGGAUGACGGCCUUCGGGUUGUAAACCGCUUUCGCCUGUGACGAAGCGUGAGUGACGGGAAUGGGGAAAGAAGCACCGGCUAACUACGU